AGAGAGUGUCAAUCUGUGC
This 19-nucleotide non-coding RNA is filed under the name Arabidopsis thaliana (thale cress). Lineage: Eukaryota; Viridiplantae; Streptophyta; Magnoliopsida; Brassicales; Brassicaceae. The record is from RNAcentral.